AGUGAACGCUGGCGGUAGGCCUAACACAUGCAAGUCGAACGGCAGCACAGUAAGAGCUUGCUCUUACGGGUGGCGAGUGGCGGACGGGUGAGGAAUACAUCGGAAUCUACUUUUUCGUGGGGGAUAACGUAGGGAAACUUACGCUAAUACCGCAUACGACCUACGGGUGAAAGCAGGGGAUCUUCGGACCUUGCGCGAUUGAAUGAGCCGAUGUCGGAUUAGCUAGUUGGCGGGGUAAAGGCCCACCAAGGCGACGAUCCGUAGCUGGUCUGAGAGGAUGAUCAGCCACAAUGGAACUGAGACACGGUCCAGAGUCCUACGGGAGGCGGCAGUGGGGAAUAUUGGACAAUGGGCGCAAGCCUGGUCCAGCCAUACCGCGUGGGUGAAGAAGGCCUUCGGGUUGUAAAGCCCUUUUGUUGGGAAAGAAAAGCAGCAGGUUAAUACCCCGCUGUUCUGACGGUACCCAAAGAAUAAGCACCGGCUAGCUUCGUG
This 492-nucleotide ribosomal RNA is filed under the name uncultured bacterium. RNAcentral's name for it is "partial 16S ribosomal RNA". It matches the Rfam family "Bacterial small subunit ribosomal RNA", at positions 29 to 507 of the family's 1533-position model. The record is from RNAcentral.